RNAcentral lists this ribosomal RNA (467 nucleotides) under uncultured bacterium. RNAcentral describes it as "partial 16S ribosomal RNA". It matches the Rfam family "Bacterial small subunit ribosomal RNA", at positions 29 to 507 of the family's 1533-position model. The record is from RNAcentral.
ACGAACGCUGGCGGCGUGCUUAACACAUGCAAGUCGAACGGAAAGGCCCUGCUUUUGUGGGGUGCUCGAGUGGCGAACGGGUGAGUAACACGUGAGUAACCUGCCCUUGACUUUGGGAUAACUACAGGAAACUGGGGCUAAUACCGGAUAGGAGCUCCUGCUGCAUGGUGGGGGUUGGAAAGUUUCGGCGGUUGGGGAUGGACUCGCGGCUUAUCAGCUUGUUGGUGGGGUAGUGGCUUACCAAGGCUUUGACGGGUAGCCGGCCUGAGAGGGUGACCGGCCACAUUGGGACUGAGAUACGGCCCAGACUCCUACGGGAGGCAGCAGUGGGGAAUAGUGCACAAUGGGCGGAAGCCUGAUGCAGCAACGCCGCGUGCGGGAUGACGGCCUUCGGGUUGUAAACCGCUUUCGCCUGUGACGAAGCGUGAGUGACGGUAAUGGGUAAAGAAGCACCGGCUAACUACGUG